GAGCAUGAGAACUUCACGAAUCGCACGGCCUUGGGCCGGCGAUGGCUCAUUCAGAUUUCUUCCCUAUCAACUUUGGAUGUUGGGGUAGUGGCCAAACAUGGUUGCAACGGGUAACGGAGGGUUAGGGCUCGACCCCGGAGAAGGAGCCGGAGAAGCGGGUACGACAUCCAAGGAAGGCAGCAGGCGCGCAAAUUGCCCAAUCCCAAUUCGGGGAGGUAGUGACAAUAAAUACUGAUACAGGGCUCUUUCGGGUCUUGUAAUCGGAAUGAGUACAAUUUAAAUCCCUUAACGAGGAACAAUUGGAGGGCAAGUCUGGUGCCAGCAGCCGCGGUAAUUCCAGCUCCAAUAGCGUAUAUUAAAGUUGUUGUGGUUAAAAAGCUCGUAGUUGAACCUUGGGCCUGGCUGGCCGGUCCGCCUCACCGCGUGUACUGGUCCGGGCGGGCCUUUCCCUCUGUGGAACCUCAUGCCCUUCACUGGGUGUGCUGGGGAACCAGGACUUUUAC
This 503-nucleotide ribosomal RNA is filed under the name uncultured fungus. Its description in RNAcentral is "SSU rRNA". It matches the Rfam family "Eukaryotic small subunit ribosomal RNA", at positions 249 to 755 of the family's 1831-position model. The record is from RNAcentral. Lineage: Eukaryota; Fungi.